Molecule: long non-coding RNA, 1002 nt
Organism: Lycium ferocissimum
Lineage: Eukaryota; Viridiplantae; Streptophyta; Magnoliopsida; Solanales; Solanaceae
Exons: 2
Source: RefSeq, a predicted model, not a curated record
GUUAAUUGGAUUUUGUUGCAGCUUCUACCUUUAAAUGUUCCUUUUGAUCAAUUUUUAUGGGAAAAUCACACACACACAUAUAUAUAUAAAAGCAGGCCAAAUCUUAGUCAUUUCUUAUACAGUUUUGGUUGGUGAUUCGGACUGUAUAUCCACAAUACAUGUUGCUACCGCUUCUCUUGCUUUAUGGCCUUGCAGGAUAUGAGGUCUCCAAUUUUUGUUACAUUUUUUUUACUUCUUUUAACCGUUUAAAAUGGACAAUAAUUUCUUAUAUAUCUAUAUAUUCUUCUUUUAUUGGGUUCCUGUUUUUUUACUUCAGCAUCUUCUUGAUGCAUUAUUAAGGAAACAACUUAACUCAUAAAUCAUGUACUUAUACUUUCAUCUUUUUCUCUUUAUAAUGUUUAUUCUCAUACUUUAUAGUCAACUAGGUAAUUUCAGUCAAGAAAUGAUCAACAUAUCUUUAAGGUAGUCAUGACAUUGGGCGUGCCAUAUCAAAUGAUGAAAAUCCACUUCUAUAUAUCUUCGCCCAUUACUAAUAAGCCCUUGAUUAAAUAAUUAGCCUAGACCGUGUGCUUGCCUCUCUUGUCUCUUCUAACACUAAUUCUCUGCAUAAUGCAAAUUGAAGGCGUACAACAUCCAAAGUAGUGGCCUUUAUUAUUUGGAGGGUGCAACCAUUUCAGGUGAUAUUUUGAAUCUUUCCAAUGAGGACGUGCCCUCAUAAGUUAGGAAUUAUCAUUGUUUUCUUCUCCAAUGCGACUUUGGUUGGUUUCAUCGCUGUUGCAAAGGUCAUUAUUAUAGUGCAACAACUAAAAGAGUUGCUAGGGGUAGCCCACUUCACAAGCUAGAUGCAAAUAGUUCAUGUAUUUUCUUCUUUUUCCUAGCUUUUCAGCACAAAAGAUAAAGAAGCUACCAUGUCAAUCUUGAACGAUAAUUAUAUUUUUGCUUUUACGAUUUGAAUGUAAUAAAUCUGAGAAUUGGCGUCAUGGAGAGUUGUAGAGUUAUACA